This 383-nucleotide ribosomal RNA is filed under the name uncultured eukaryote. RNAcentral's name for it is "partial 18S ribosomal RNA". It matches the Rfam family "Eukaryotic small subunit ribosomal RNA", at positions 592 to 976 of the family's 1831-position model. The record is from RNAcentral.
CAAUAGCGUAUAUUAAAGUUGUUGCAGUUAAAAAGCUCGUAGUUGGAUUUCUGGUAGGAGUGACCGUUCCGAACUUGAUUGUUCGUGUAUUGUGUUUUCUCCAGCCAUCCUUGUGGAGAACUUUUCUUGCAUUAAUUUGUAGGGAUUGGGACCCGCAUCGUUUACUGUGAAAAAAUUAGAGUGUUUAAAGCAGGCAAUCGCUUGAAUACAUUAGCAUGGAAUAAUAAGAUAGGACUUUGGUACUAUUUUGUUGGUUUGCAUACCAAAUUAAUGAUCAACAGGAACAGUUUGAGGAUAUUCGUAUGAACAUGUCAGAGGUGAAAUUCUUGGAUUUUGAUCAGACGAACUACUGCGAAAGCAUAUAUCAAGGAUGUUUUCAUUAA